UACGGAGGGUGCAAGCGUUAUCCGGAUUCACUGGGUUUAAAGGGUGCGUAGGAGGGCAGGGAAGUCCGUGGUGAAAUCUUAGAGCUUAACUCUAGAACUGCCGUGGAUACUCUCUGUCUUGAAUCCCGUUGGAGAUGAGCGGAAUAUGUCAUGUAGCGGUGAAAUGCUUAGAUAUGACAUAGAACACCAAUUGCGAAGGCAGCUCGUUACACGAAGAUUGACUCUGAGGCACGAAAGCGUGGGGAUCAAACAGG
RNAcentral lists this ribosomal RNA (254 nucleotides) under uncultured bacterium. RNAcentral describes it as "partial 16S ribosomal RNA". It matches the Rfam family "Bacterial small subunit ribosomal RNA", at positions 524 to 776 of the family's 1533-position model. The record is from RNAcentral.